AUAUUGCACUAUGGGCGCAAGCCUGAUGCAGCCAUGCCGCGUGUGUGAAGAAGGCCUUAGGGUUGUAAAGCACUUUCAGUAAGGAGGAAAGGUUAGUAGUUAAUACCUGCUAGCUGUGACGUUACUUACAGAAGAAGCACCGGCUAACUCCGUGCCAGCAGCCGCGGUAAUACGGAGGGUGCGAGCGUUAAUCGGAAUUACUGGGCGUAAAGCGUACGCAGGCGGUUUGUUAAGCGAGAUGUGAAAGCCCCGGGCUCAACCUGGGAACUGCAUUUCGAACUGGCAAACUAGAGUGUGAUAGAGGGUGGUAGAAUUUCAGGUGUAGCGGUGAAAUGCGUAGAGAUCUGAAGGAAUACCGAUGGCGAAGGCAGCCACCUGGGUCAACACUGACGCUCAUGUACGAAAGCGUGGGGAGCAAACAGGAUUAGAUACCCGGGUAGUCCACGCCGUAAACGAUGUCUACAAGGAGCUGGGGUCUUCGGACAACUUUCCAAAGCUAACGCAUUAGGUAGACCGCCUGGGGAGUACGGCC
RNAcentral lists this ribosomal RNA (532 nucleotides) under Pseudoalteromonas sp. BZ14.1A. RNAcentral's name for it is "bacterial SSU rRNA". It matches the Rfam family "Bacterial small subunit ribosomal RNA", at positions 361 to 887 of the family's 1533-position model. The record is from RNAcentral. Lineage: Bacteria; Pseudomonadati; Pseudomonadota; Gammaproteobacteria; Alteromonadales; Pseudoalteromonadaceae.